UACGUAGGGGGCAAGCGUUGUCCGGAUUUAUUGGGCGUAAAGAGCUCGUAGGCGGCUCACUAAGUCGGAUGUGAAAACUCCAGGCUCAACCUGGAGACGCCAUUCGAUACUGGUGUGGCUUGAGUUCGGUAGGGGAGCACGGAAUUCCUGGUGUAGCGGUGGAAUGCGCAGAUAUCAGGAAGAACACCCGUGGCGAAGGCGGCUCUCUGGGACGGUACUGACGCUGAGACGCGAAAGCGUGGGGAGCGAACAGG
RNAcentral lists this ribosomal RNA (254 nucleotides) under uncultured bacterium. Its description in RNAcentral is "partial 16S ribosomal RNA". It matches the Rfam family "Bacterial small subunit ribosomal RNA", at positions 524 to 776 of the family's 1533-position model. The record is from RNAcentral.